AAAAAACUUGAAAUGACGGUUAUGCCCUUUUAUUUUCUUUUUUGUAUUUUUUAUAAUUAACUUAAUACAAUUUUAACUUAAAAAAGGAAAGAAAAGGAUUAUCCCCAACCAUCUCUCUCUCCUCUCUCUCUCCACCACAAUAAACACACAUUCUCACAUAUAUCAUUGUCUCUCUCCUCUCUCUCUCUCUCCACCACAAUAAACACACAUUCUCACAUAUAUCAUUGAUGCAGAUUCAUCACCACCCCAUCCCAUCUUCUUCUUCCUCAUAUUUACCUGCAACUGAAACCUCUCACAUAUGCAUCCUGAAAAUCAAAUCUCUCACAAACAAAACCCGCUAACAGAGGUGUUGGUUCUAAGAAUCAAGACAUCUAAUGACAUCGCUCAGCCAUCGCUUCGUCUUCUUCGACAUUGUUUUAAAUAUUCUUCGGGGGUUUCAGUUUACAUCAUCUCAUCUUUUGGGUUUUUGAUUUCCACAAAGCGGGGUAAGAUUAGCAAGAAAAAAACACUUUUAAUUGCAAGAAUGAAUAUCAAAUAAGGGUGGGAUGAAACUGUAGUCACUUCUCCAUCAGCCUCAUCUUUGAACACACAAUUGAUGCAUCCAAAUCACUUACAAUUUUCCCUUAUUUUAGUUCCAACUCAUUAGUUUUGUAUUCCUAUUUCUAUACAUCUUCAUCUAUUUGCUGAAUUGGAUGUCUCAGGAAAGAAAAUUGGAAUCAUAUGCUUCUAAAUAGAUCAGAAAAAGAAGAAGGAAAACAAUGCACUCCAGGUGCUCGAUGAAACACCUGAAAGAAAAGUACCAUCAGAUAUUUCAAUACAUGAAAGAAAAGUAUCUUUACUGAGGAUCUAGAAAUGAAAUACUUCUAAAAUACAAACACAUAUCAUAAGAGAAAAGUAAAGGAAUCGAGAAUGAGUUCAUUGUUCAGCCAAGAAGGAAUCUGGAGUAUGUUGCAGUCAUAAAAGAUAGAUCAGAAGAAGAAGUUUAACCUUAUUGAACAUGUUGAGAGGAAUAUGAUUGGGUUUUUUAAUUGAAGAAUUUGCUUUUUUGGGUUAACUUAUGUGUAUUAUCUAGUAGCAAAAUUGUAAAAAAAUCUGGGUUUUUUCAUCGAUUUGUAGAUCACAGAAGAAGAAGAAGAAGAAGAAGAAGAAGAAGAAGAGAGAGAGAGAGAGAGAGAGAGAGAGAGAGUAUGUGUGUGUGUGUGAGUAAGUAUGGUGGGGUGGUUCGUAGCAAAUUGUUGUUUUUUGUUUUUGUUUUAAAUCAAAAUAGUAUUAAAAUAAUUGUAAAAAAGAAAAUGAAAGGGCAUAACCGUCUUUUCAAGUUUUUUUGGACCAAUAUCAAAGAAAAUUCUUGAUUUUGGACCUUCCAUGCAUGUCGAAAACUUUUUGGACCCUAUCCAAAGUUUUUUGAAUACCACAGGGACCAAAUUUAUAGUUUUGUCUAUUUAAAAUAUAAAAGUAUCUAACUACCAAAACCACUUCUUGUUUUGGAAGAGUUAUAAAACUCUUCUAGUUCUC
RNAcentral lists this long non-coding RNA (1515 nucleotides) under Lactuca sativa (garden lettuce). RNAcentral describes it as "long non-coding RNA (LSAT_LNC007442)". The record is from RNAcentral. Lineage: Eukaryota; Viridiplantae; Streptophyta; Magnoliopsida; Asterales; Asteraceae.